AUCCAUGAUGUAGCAAUACAUCGGAAGAUCUAGUGGCGAACGGGUGAGGAUCACGUGAGAAACCUGCCCCAGACUCUGGGAUAACAAUUGGAAACGAUUGCUAAUACCGGAUGACGUCGGAGAACCGCAUGGUUCACUGACGAAAGAUAUUUCGGUUUGGGAGGGUCUCGCGGCCUAUCAGCUUGUUGGUGGGGUAAUGGCCUACCAAGGCAACGACGGGUAGCUGGUCUGAGAGGAUGAUCAGCCACACUGGGACUGAGACACGGCCCAGACUCCUACGGGAGGCAGCAGUGGGGAAUCUUGCGCAAUGGGCGAAAGCCUGACGCAGCAACGCCGCGUGCGGGAUGAAGGCCUUCGGGCUGUAAACCGCUUUCAGCAGGAACGAAAAUGACGGUACCUGCAGAAGAAGGAGCGGCCAACUACGUGCCAGCAGCCGCGGUGACACGUAGGCUCCAAGCGUUGUCCGGAUUUAUUGGGCGUAAAGAGCUCGUAGGCGGUUUAGUAAGUCGGGUGUGAAAACUCUGGGCUUAACCCGGAGACGCCAUCCGAUACUGCUAUGACUUGAGUUCAGGAGGGGAGCGGGGAAUUCCUAGUGUAGCGGUGAAAUGCGCAGAUAUUAGGAGGAACACCGGUGGCGAAGGCGCCGCUCUGGACUGAAACUGACGCUGAGGAGCGAAAGCAUGGGUAGCAAACAGGAUUAGAUACCCUGGUAGUCCAUGCCGUAAACGGUGGGCACUAGGUGUGGGUUCCAACUAACGGGAUCCGCGCCGUCGCU
This 775-nucleotide ribosomal RNA is filed under the name uncultured bacterium. RNAcentral describes it as "bacterial SSU rRNA". It matches the Rfam family "Bacterial small subunit ribosomal RNA", at positions 70 to 853 of the family's 1533-position model. The record is from RNAcentral.